UUGGUCCAUUUUACAGAGCACUGAUUGGUCCAUUUUACAGACUGCUGAUUGGUCCAUUUUACAAACCUCCAGCUAGCCACAAAGCACGGAUUGGUGCAUUUUUACAGAGCACUGAUUGGCACAUUUACAAACCUCUGGCUAGCCACAGAGCAUUGAUUGGUGCAUUUUACAAUCCUAGCUACAGAGUGCUGAUUGGUGCAUUUUACAAUCCUCUCGUAAGACAGAAAAGUUCUCCAAGUCCCCACUGGACCCAGGAAGUCCAGCUGGCUUCACCUCUCGCUAGGGGCACCUGCAGGAGACGCAGCAGAUAUAGGCAUCUUUGAUCCCAUCUUCACUGGGUUUCCAUCCCCUCCAAGAAGAGUCCAGCGAGGCUCAGAGCCCAGCAGUCUGAGGCCGGAGCGUGAUGUCUUGAUGGAGUGCAGCAGCAGGCGGCCACAGGGGGGCUCCAGGUGGAGGCAGGGUGGACAGAGGGUGGCCUUGGAGGUGCGUGGGGCGGGGGCAGGGAGAGUCAGGGGCCUGAGCCAAGACCACGUUGUUGAUGGGAGCUGAGGCCCAGAAGACAGGUGCUGGGAAGGGCCAGGGAGUCUUCCAGAGUCAAGAUCCCAGAGCCUCCACCUCCCACCCAAUGCUGGGAUUUGUAGCUGGGGGUGGGCCGGAGACAGGAGGGGGACUGGGAAGAUGGCCCUGAUACUUUCCAGAGGAAGCCAGCUUUCUCAGGGGCUGCAGGAGCUGUUCGUUCAACAAACCUCAGACCUGUGCUCACCCCUGUGAGGUGGGGGGCGUGGGACCUGGGUUAGACCCAGUUCUGACCUUGCCCUCCAGAGCCCACAAGGAUAACGGGAGGCAGGCCUGGUCCUCACACCAGGUGCCCAGCAUCCUGCCCAGGCUGUGCUGGGGCUGACCACCCCACGAUGAGGGUCCAUUUCUACCCGCUCUGCUGCAGAAAGGACAGGGUCUGUCUAGGGACAGAUGUGGAGACCCUGAAAGAUGCAGCAGCAGGAUGGGCCUGGGUGGGAGGAGCUGGAGCUGGAGGAAGCUGGGCACCAGCUGUGAGCCCCACCUCACAUCUCCAGCUCACCUGGACUUCUCAGUAAUCCCUCAGGCUGGCCUGGGCUGCAGAGGGGGUCCCAGCUGUAUCAGCACGCAAGGCCUGCUCUGGGGCAGGCUGGGAAGCCCUGGUUUGUCAGAGAACUGAAACCACACUGAGCAGACGCGGCUGCAACCCAUGCAGAGAGAGAAGAGCAGCUUUCAGGGCUGCUGACUUUGCACUGGAACCCCAGAUGACUCCCACAGACCCUGCUAGACCUCUCCACCAGGCUGCAGCUUCCAGGAGGAGGAGAUGCCCCAUGGCUGAUGCAACAAGUUACCACAAACCUGGUGGCUAACACAAGUUUAUUCUCUACAGUUCUGGAGGCCACAAGUCUAAAGUCAGUUGUACGGGGUAAAGUCAAGGUGUCAGCGGGGCUGGUUCCCUCUGGAGGCUCCAGAGGAGAAGCUGCUCCUGGCCUCUGCCAGCUCCUAAGGGCUGCCAGCAUUCCUUGGCUUGUGGCCACAACCUCCAGUCUCUGCCUCCCUGGUCACGUCGCAUUCUCGUCUGUGUGUAAUCUCUCUUCCACCUUCUCUUCUGUGUGUAGUCUCUUUUCCUCUCUCUUGUAAGGACACUUGUGAUUACAUUUAGGGCCCACCUGGCUAACCCAGGACAACCUUUCCAUCCCAAGAUCCUUAGCUUCGCCAGGUGCAGUGGCUCACACCUGUAAUCCCAGCAUUUUGGGAGGCCGAGAUGGGUGGAUCACUUGAGGCCAGAAGUUUGAGAUCAGCCUGGCCAACAUGGUGAAACCCCCUCUUUAAUAAAAAAUACAAAAAUUA
This is a long non-coding RNA of Homo sapiens (human), 1866 nucleotides long. RefSeq lists it as uncharacterized. The record is from RefSeq and is a predicted model, not a curated record. Lineage: Eukaryota; Metazoa; Chordata; Mammalia; Primates; Hominidae. The transcript has 2 exons.